Molecule: ribosomal RNA, 253 nt
Filed under: uncultured bacterium
Lineage: Bacteria
Description: partial 16S ribosomal RNA
Rfam family: Bacterial small subunit ribosomal RNA
Source: RNAcentral
UACGUAGGGAGCAAGCGUUGUUCGGAUUUACUGGGCGUAAAGGGCGCGUAGGCGGCGCGGUAAGUCACUUGUGAAAUCUCUGAGCUUAACUCAGAACGGCCAAGUGAUACUGCAGUGCUAGAGUGCAGAAGGGGCAAUCGGAAUUCUUGGUGUAGCGGUGAAAUGCAUAGAUAUCACGAAGAACACCAGUGGCGAAGGCGGCCGGCUGGGUCAGUAUUGACGCUGAGGCACGAGAGCGUGGGGAGCGAACAGG